CCAUUUGCUGAAUCAGGGCAGGGUCAGAGUGCAGGGGAAGGGUCCAGGGUUCACCAACCGUUAGUGGCCAAACCGGUCGGUGUGACGGGACCAAGCGCAACCUUCAAAAACGCUCUUCUUGCCGUCUUCAGCAAGACAAACAGGGAAAGGCUCCUGUGCCUGCCAAAACUUUGCCUGUCAUAAAAGCAUCCUCCAUGUCACAGUGACAACCACGAGAACAGAACGGGAGGCAGCAAGGUCUAGAGGAUGAGAUGCAGAACCGGGAAUCAGACCUGUUUCCCAAGAAGACCGAGAACUACUUUUAAUUGAGAUGUACAAAGGAGGUGCAGGAGGACAAUAAUUUGUGACUCAAAAAUAACACGCAAGUCAAGAGUUGUGAAUGGAAUUUAGGCAGUGCCUUCAAAUCCUGCAGCCUUCAAUCACUUUAUAAGGAUAGCACAGGCCACCACUGGCUUGGAGAUUGUCACAUUACUCAUCUCUCAUCUGCCUAAUCCACUUUACCACCUACAGUCCAAACAACCAGGAGAGAGAAGUCCGUGUGGACUUUCCCUCAUCAAAAGUGAACCAGGAAACAGUUUCAAAGCAGGUUGUCCAAGCAUACAAGGCUCAUGAAGAAAGGACCUGCUCCCUUUCCUUUGAACUUUGGCUGCUUUCCCUGCUCUCUGAGCAGAACACUGCAGGAAAGAGACAAAACCUGCCUGGCUGGAUCUACCGCUAGUAUGCGCUGGGCCAGCUCAGCUGGGUCCUCACUGCUCUUGGCAACGCAUGGACCUCCUUAUUCACCAGCAGACCACAUGGACAUCUUUACCUUGACUCCAAAUUUUAGUUCCAAUUGCAACUCUUCUAAACCAUUCACAUUGAUUCAAGCCUCAAGUGCAACUUCAUUACUUUAUUCUGAGCACAAGUCCCCUUUCUACACUCUUAAAAUGUAGGAUAUCUACUCUGAGCUUCCUUAUCUCACAUCUGUCCCCACUUUUCUCUUCCCUUUGCCACCAUCCUACCCACCUCCUACUCACCUCCAUGAGACUGUCAACAUAACAGCCUCUUACUUCUCACUCUCUCUCUUUAGACUCUCCUCCCUCCAAUCCAUCCUGAACACUGCCUGCCAGGUUAAUAUUAUUACCUCACCUCUUUGACCAUUUCACAAACAUAUUCCAUCAUUUUCAUUGGGUUCUUAUUACCUAAAGAGCUUCUUAGCCUAGUUCUCAAACUCUCAACCAAACCCUAUCUUUCCAGAAUCGCAUCCCUCUCUUCCCCUCUAGAUAGGCAUGCUCUAGUCACCCCUUGGAUUUUCUUGCCUCUGCACCAUUGCUCAAGCCAUUUCUGCCACAUUGAAUGCUCUCUCCUCAUUGCUGGCUAUUUCAAUACUCCCCACAAUCUCAGGGCCAAAUGAUGUACCACUGAGUACAUGAAAUCCUGCCUGAUUACAGCUCUCAGCUGUGCACACCUGGAGUUCUUUGUGGCAUUGUUGAUCCACAUGUAAGCAGAUAAUUACUGAGAAGCAUCCACAUGCCAGACACUAUGUUAACCACUGGGAUCACAGCAAUAACCAAGAGAGAGUCAGAGUAAGGUGGACAGUAAAUAGGUAGUAAGGAAUAUGACAGAGGUAAGCAAAGGGUGUUGUGGGAUCCACAUAUAUGAUCCCAUCGAGUCUUGGUGGGAGCCAAGAUUGCCUGGAGGAAACAACAUACAUACAUCUAAGUUGGGUCCUUUAGGAGAGUUAUCCAAAUGAAUAAGCAGAGAAAUAGAGGACCACUUCUCAGCACAGAGAAUACUAUAUUCAAGGAACUGCAUAUGGUCCAACAUAGAUGGAGCAGAGACUUCAAAGAGGGCUGGAGUGGUGAGAGAAAACUCUGGAAAGGGAAACAAAUCAGCUCAUAAAGAGGCUUGUGGACCACGUGAAAGAGCUAGGACUUGAUCCUGAGUAUAUUCGGGAGCUACUGAAGAACUGUAGAGGCAUACACAAUCCUAUUUGCAUAUGGUGAAACCUUUCUGCAAAAAGUAUCAAUUGAGAAAUCGAGCUGUUGUAGUAAAGUAGACCAAAGAUGAAGAUGGCCUCCACUAAUACAGUUCCAUGAUGACACAAAGAAGUAGAUGGAUUUGAGAGUUAUUAAGGAGGUAAAAUCAGGAUGAUCAGCCACUGAUUAGGUGAAGGUAAGGGAUGAGAGUCAAAGAUGAUGCUCAGGUUUCUGGCUUAGACAACUAUUUAGAUAGGAGCACCACGCACUGAGAUGAGAGACACUGGGGUGGAAGCAGUUUGGAAUGAGAUGAAUAUGAAAUGCCUGUGAGAUUUUCAAGGCAUGAUGCCCAAUUCACCAAUAGUUAGACAAAUAGUUCUAGAGUUGAAGAAAAUGACGUGGGCUUAAGUUUUCAAUUUGGAUAUCAUCAUCUAUAGGUAAACAGUAAUCAAGGCACCGUAAAUAGAUUAAAUCAACCCAGAUAAAGUGUACAGCAUGAGGAGAGAUGAGGGUCACAGUGAAUACCAAUAGUUAAAGAGUACAAAGGAAAGUUUCAGAAAGACGACAGGAGAGAGGAAGCCUGAGAUGUAGACGGAACACCCAGAGAGGGUGAUGCCAUGCAAGCAAAGAGAAUUUCAAGGAGAGACUGUUGACAAGUAAAAAAAGGGCAGGCAAUUAUCCUUUGGAUUUAGGCACAAAGAGAUCGUGAAGGGGUAUGAAGGUUUUUUCCACGGAUUGGUGGGUUCAGAUGCCAGUUGCACUGCAAUGACACUUAUCACAUACACCUUGACACAAGUCAGCCUGUGUGUCUCCUGGCACUCCUUCAAGACCCCAAAUUCUGACCAAAGAGCUACAGGAUCUCCACCUGUGCACUUUAUACAGCACCUCACACACAGGAGACAUUCAAUGAAAACUUGUAGAAAAUAAUUGCACAUCGAUGUCCCUUCCUUUAAAAACUUCAUUCGGAAGCAUGUUAAAGUCGCUUGAGAGGAAAGAUGCUCACAGCCGCUCACUGACCUUGUGUGGCAUUUGUCCAUCUCUCCCUCACUUUCAGGCAUUAAAUUAAUCAUGCCCUUUCUUCCCACCCCUACUCCUGGGUCAAUAGACGAGGUCCUUCUGGUCUAAUUCGACUCCUAAAUGAGCUCUAGAGGCUUAAGGCAGAGCCUGGACCAACCAACUGCACCCUCCCCCUCUUCCAUCUAGUGGUAUUUAGUUGAUGCUGCAAAAAAAUUAGGCUGGUUUUGCUUCUGAUUAUUUCUGCAUGGGCUCUUUUGUGACCUCUCUCAGAGAGGGUGACCACUUAUCACUCAGAAGACACAGAGCCACAUCCGCAACAGUCCAAGCAGCCAUCAUUUAGUAAGCACUUCCUACGAGCCAGGUACCAUGCUGACUUUCAGACAGAACUUCUUCAGUCAUAUUACAGCUCCACUCAAAAUCCUCACUGGCUCCACAUUGUUCAAAGAAUAAAUGUAAUUUGCCUCUAUUUCUUGUUUAAUGCCUUUAAUUCAUUCAAAACAAUGCAAAACAAAGACAAAAACCAAAAGAAUGCAUUAGGUUAAAAGGCUAUUAUCAGAUUGUAAAAAUACAUGUGAGCUAAAAGUACCCUAUCAUUUGUACCUUGAACAAGGUCGCUCCAGAAGAAUGUCCUCUCUAAUUAAAUAGGACAGUAAAACUAUUCUCUCUUUUCCUGGCUUAAUCAAUUUAUUAAUUGUGGCACUGACCAUAUUUUGUUACUGUUGGGUCAUAUUCUCGUGAGGGA
Molecule: long non-coding RNA, 3717 nt
Organism: Equus caballus (horse)
Lineage: Eukaryota; Metazoa; Chordata; Mammalia; Perissodactyla; Equidae
Source: RefSeq, a predicted model, not a curated record